This 187-nucleotide non-coding RNA is filed under the name Sphingomonas sp. RNAcentral also lists the same sequence under 1 other name. Lineage: Bacteria; Pseudomonadati; Pseudomonadota; Alphaproteobacteria; Sphingomonadales; Sphingomonadaceae. The record is from RNAcentral.
GAGGCCGCCGCCGUGACGGGUGUCCCCGCAAGGGGAUGAAAAUGGGAACUCGGUUCGAACCCGAGGCUGCCCCCGCAACUGUAACCGGCGAGCAUUCGCGCCAUCAUGCCACUGGAGCACAUCCGGGAAGGCGGCGCGCAUGUAGUGACCCGGGAGCCAGGAGACCUGCCGGUCACAGUCGAUUCCU